RNAcentral lists this ribosomal RNA (253 nucleotides) under uncultured bacterium. RNAcentral's name for it is "partial 16S ribosomal RNA". It matches the Rfam family "Bacterial small subunit ribosomal RNA", at positions 524 to 776 of the family's 1533-position model. The record is from RNAcentral.
UACGGGGGGGGCAAGCGUUGUUCGGAAUUACUGGGCGUAAAGGGCUCGUAGGGGGCCAACUAAGUCAGACGUGAAAUCCCUCGGCUUAACCGGGGAACUGCGUCUGAUACUGGAUGGCUGGAGUUUGGGAGAGGGAUGCGGAAUUCCAGGUGUAGCGGUGAAAUGCGUAGAUAUCUGGAGGAACACCUGCGGUGUAGACGGCUUUCUGGACCAUUGUUGACGCUGAGACACGAAAGCGUGGGUAGCAAACAGG